Molecule: ribosomal RNA, 318 nt
Filed under: uncultured Bacteroidota bacterium
Lineage: Bacteria; Pseudomonadati; Bacteroidota
Description: bacterial SSU rRNA
Rfam family: Bacterial small subunit ribosomal RNA
Source: RNAcentral
GAUGAACGCUAGCGGGAGGCUUAACACAUGCAAGUCGAGGGGUAUAGUAGCAAUACUAGAGACCGGCGGACGGGUGCGUAACGCGUAUGCAACUUGCCUUAUACAGGGGGAUAGCCCGUGGAAACGCGGAUUAAUACCCCAUAUGUCAACUGGGUCGCAUGGUUUGGUUGAUAAAACUGAGGUGGUAUAAGAUGGGCAUGCGUCUGAUUAGCUGGUUGGUAAGGUAACGGCUUACCAAGGCGACGAUCAGUAGGGGUUCUGAGAGGAUAAUCCCCCACACUGGUACUGAGACACGGACCAGACUCCUACGGGUGGCAG